RNAcentral lists this ribosomal RNA (254 nucleotides) under uncultured bacterium. RNAcentral's name for it is "partial 16S ribosomal RNA". It matches the Rfam family "Bacterial small subunit ribosomal RNA", at positions 524 to 776 of the family's 1533-position model. The record is from RNAcentral.
UACGUAGGGUGCAAGCGUUGUCCGGAAUUAUUGGGCGUAAAGAGCUCGGUAGGUGGCCUGUCGCGUCGGCUGUGAAAACUCGGGGCUCAACUCCGAGCUUGCAGUCGAUACGGGCAGGCUAGAGUUCGGCAGGGGAGACUGGAAUUCUCGGUGUAGCGGUGAAAUGCGUAGAUAUCAGGAGGAACACCGGUGGCGAAGGCGGGUCUCUGGGCCGAUACUGACGCUGAGGAGCGAAAGCAUGGGGAGCGAACAGG